AAAGCGUGGGGAGCGAACAGGAUUAGAUACCCUGGUAGUCCACGCCGUAAACGAUGAGUGCUAAGUGUUAGGGGGUUUUCCCCCCUUAGUGCUGCAGCUAACGCAUUAAGCACUCCGCCUGGGGAGUACGGUCGCAAGACUGAAACUCAAAGGAAUUGACGGGGGCCCGCACAAGCGGUGGAGCAUGUGGUUUAAUUCGAAGCAACGCGAAGAACCUUACCAGGUCUUGACAUCCUCUGACAAUCCUAGAGAUAGGACGUCCCCUUCGGGGGCAGAGUGACAGGUGGUGCAUGGUUGUCGUCAGCUCGUGUCGUGAGAUGUUGGGUUAAGUCCCGCAACGAGCGCAACCCUUGAUCUUAGUUGCCAGCAUUCAGUUGGGCACUCUAAGGUGACUGCCGGUGACAAACCGGAGGAAGGUUGGGGAUGACGUCAAAUCAUCAUGCCCCUUAUGACCUGGGCUACACACGUGCUACAAUGGACAGAACAAAGGGC
This 492-nucleotide ribosomal RNA is filed under the name Bacillus subtilis. RNAcentral's name for it is "bacterial SSU rRNA". It matches the Rfam family "Bacterial small subunit ribosomal RNA", at positions 756 to 1247 of the family's 1533-position model. Lineage: Bacteria; Bacillati; Bacillota; Bacilli; Caryophanales; Bacillaceae. The record is from RNAcentral.